This 322-nucleotide ribosomal RNA is filed under the name uncultured eukaryote. RNAcentral describes it as "partial 18S ribosomal RNA". It matches the Rfam family "Eukaryotic small subunit ribosomal RNA", at positions 1470 to 1796 of the family's 1831-position model. The record is from RNAcentral.
CCCUUAGAUGUUCUGGGCCGCACGCGUGCUACACUGAGUAAAUCAAUGGGUAAGGGAACACGAAAGUGCAACCUAAUCUUGAAAUUUGCUCGUGAUGGGGAUCGACGGUCGCAAUUUUCCGUCGUGAACGAGGAAUACCUUGUAGGCGCGUGUCAUCAUCACGCGCCGAAUACGUCCCUGCCCUUUGUACACACCGCCCGUCGCUCCUACCGAUUGAGUGAUCCGGUGAGGCUCUGGGACCUGGACGGAAAGAGCGUUUCGCUUGUUCUGUUUGGGAAACUUGGUCGAACCUUAUCAUUUAGAGGAAGGAGAAGUCGUAACA